UUUGUGGGCUCCUGCAAGUGCCAGGCGCUGACCACUCCUCCUGGGAGCCUAACUGAGGGGGGUAGAGGCAGCAGAGGUUAACAGAAAUCUCAGGUCCCUUGGUGGAAGGUGGGUGUGUAGUCGUGGUACUUUACGCCUCGGUGUUUAGGGAGGAGCCUAAGGUAAGGAGUCAGAAACGGGGAGUAACCGAGCUGCGGCUUUUAUAUAAGGUCAGUGGUAGGUAAGGAAGGGGCCUUAACCUCUGCUGGUGACCAGAAGCCUGCAUUUCUGCAUUCUGCUUAAUUCCCUUUCCUUAGUUUGAAAGAAGCCAACACUAAACCACAAAUAUACAACAAGGCCAUUUUCUCAAACGAGAGUCAGCCUUUAACGAAUGACCAUGGUUGACACAGAGAUGCCAUUCUGGCCCACCAACUUUGGGAUCAGCUCCGUGGAUCUCUCCGUAAUGGAAGACCACUCCCACUCCUUUGAUAUCAAGCCCUUCACUACUGUUGACUUCUCC
Molecule: long non-coding RNA, 499 nt
Filed under: Homo sapiens (human)
Lineage: Eukaryota; Metazoa; Chordata; Mammalia; Primates; Hominidae
Description: long non-coding RNA NONHSAT088005.2
Source: RNAcentral